ACCUGCGGAGGAUCAUUAUUGAUUGUAAACUGUUGCCCUCUGUGCUGGCUCCUGCAAGUGCACGUUGGUGACUUUCAUUCCAAUACCCCUGUGAACCUUUGGCCUCUUGCUAGCUUCCGCUGGCAGAGGAUUCUACAUACAAACUCGAAUGUAAUGAAACUCUUGUUGUGCACAAGCACUACUAUAUACAACUUUCAACAACGGAUCUCUUGGCUCUCGCAUCGAUGAAGAACGCAGCGAAAUGCGAUAAGUAAUGUGAAUUGCAGAAUUCAGUGAAUCAUCGAAUCUUUGAACGCACCUUGCACCCUUUGGCAUUCUGAAGGGUAUGCUCGUUUGAGUGUCAUUGUACUCUCACACUUCCGAUCUUGCAUUGGGAGCGGUGGACUUGGGUUUGCUGCUUUACCGUAGCUUACCUCAAAUGUGUUAGUGCAGCUCUUGGUUGGACAUAAUACGGCGUGAUAAGUAUCUUCGCCGGUGCCUCGCAAGAGGGUGGCCGAUCAGGAUGGUGUGCUCCAAACCGUCUUCGGACAAUCUCUGACAACUUGACCUCAAAUCGAGUAAGACUACCCGCUGAACUUAAGCAUAUCAAUAAGCGGAGGAAAAGAAACUAACAAGGAUUCCCCUAGUAACGGCGAGUGAAGAGGGAAGAGCUCAAAUUUUGAAUCUGGCGUCUUUGGCGUC
RNAcentral lists this ribosomal RNA (681 nucleotides) under uncultured Sebacina. RNAcentral's name for it is "eukaryotic LSU rRNA". The stretch from base 190 to 343 matches the Rfam family "5.8S ribosomal RNA". Lineage: Eukaryota; Fungi; Basidiomycota; Agaricomycetes; Sebacinales; Sebacinaceae. The record is from RNAcentral.